CCUCACGCGACCCCCAUCCCCCGAUAUCUCUCCCUCUGUGAAACCCCUCAGCUGCCAACCCUCUUGCUCGUUAACCGCUCUACACCGCGUGCCACUCGCUGUUCCCCCUCCUUUGUGCCACCACUCGUCCCUUCACCCAGCAGUUCGCACUGACGUUCGCCUCCAGCCGGCUCCCCCUCCCCCCGCCUUCGCCCACGCCGCCCACACCCUCUGUUCUCUGCCACUCGCUACACGUUCGUACCACUACUUGACGAGCAGAUUAGCUGUCGCCACCGGUCGAUCUCUCUCUCUCUCCCUCUCGCCACCAACAAAUCAACUUAAAUCCAAUCGCCGAUCUCUUUCUCUCGCAGCGGUCUAUCCAUCCGGCCACCACGGUUCGCCACCGCUGCUGGUUUGCCGCAGAUUUCGAUACCACUAUUUUGUCGAAUUUUGGAUUUGGGGAUGAGAUUUGGAUGGAAGAGUGUUGCUGUCCGUUUUGUUCGAGACAAGAGCGGGUUCCAAGUCGCCAUCUGUUAGAAUUAGAAUCUUAUUAAAGGGAGAUUUUGGAGUUGAAAUCUUGGGAGUAUUUGUUGAUCAAGCUUCGUUUGGGGAAUUAAUUCAGGAUUUAUUUUAUUGGAGACUAUUUUCUUGGAUUAACAUCUGAAUUAAAAUUCGAGGUAAGUAAUCUUACUACUGGAACUACCUAUGUGCCAUGCGAUGAAAUUUCAGCUUUCGUUUGAGGAUUUUGAGGUUGGUUGUAUUGAAUUACAUGAGGUUAAUUGAGUUUCCCUGAUUAUAUAUGCAAAAUGUUAUGAAUGCUAGCGUGGACUAUGUGAUAAUUAUUUAUUUGAUUGGUUGGAUGAACUGUGAACAUUAUGAUUGUAUUUGCAUGUUGUGGGACUAUGUUUAUGACGCAUGUUAUAUUUAUGUUAGUGCUAGUUGCACUUACCACUAGUUAGAUACCUAUUAGAGGUGAUGACUUCCUACGGGAUUCACUAAAGGCUUGUGUUCCCUUCGGGAUUCACCAGAGGUUAUGUUUCCUUCGAGAUUCACCAGAGGUUGUGUUUCCUUCGAGAUUCAUCAGAGGUUAUGUUUCCUUCGAGAUUCACUAGAGACUGUGUUUCCUAUGGAAUUCACCAGAAGUGGUGAGCUCCUUCGGGACGUCACCCGAGUUUUGUGUUUCCUUCGGGAUUCACCAGAGGUUGUGGGUACUUUUAAACUACGGUAGGGU
This is a long non-coding RNA of Benincasa hispida (wax gourd), 1210 nucleotides long. RefSeq lists it as uncharacterized. The record is from RefSeq and is a predicted model, not a curated record. NCBI's taxonomy places the organism in Eukaryota, Viridiplantae, Streptophyta, Magnoliopsida, Cucurbitales, Cucurbitaceae.